RNAcentral lists this transfer RNA (79 nucleotides) under Archangium violaceum Cb vi76. Its description in RNAcentral is "tRNA-Arg". It matches the Rfam family "tRNA". From Rfam's summary of the family: Transfer RNA (tRNA) molecules are approximately 80 nucleotides in length. Their secondary structure includes four short double-helical elements and three loops (D, anti-codon, and T loops). Further hydrogen bonds mediate the characteristic L-shaped molecular structure. tRNAs have two regions of fundamental functional importance: the anti-codon, which is responsible for specific mRNA codon recognition, and the 3' end, to which the tRNAs corresponding amino acid is attached (by aminoacyl-tRNA synthetases). tRNAs cope with the degeneracy of the genetic code in two manners: having more than one tRNA (with a specific anti-codon) for a particular amino acid; and 'wobble' base-pairing, i.e. permitting non-standard base-pairing at the 3rd anti-codon position. The record is from RNAcentral. Lineage: Bacteria; Pseudomonadati; Myxococcota; Myxococcia; Myxococcales; Archangiaceae.
GGCUCCGUAGCUCAGUUGGAUGCAGAGCGCCCGGCUACGAACCGGGAGGCCGCAGGUUCGAGUCCUGCCGGAGCCGCUA